UUGAAUUAAUGUCUCAUCUUAUCUCAUUUGAUCUAGUAGUAUAACUUAUUGAUUUAAUGAUAAAAAUAAACGAGUAAACCCUCAUUUUGGUCCCUGAAAAUGUCGGGCGCUGUCACAUAAGUCCUUGAAUUAAUGAAAAUGAUAAAAAAGUCUUUGAUUGUUAACUCCGUUAGUCACUUUAGUCCAAAACGUUAAAUAUCAGUUAACUUUGGUGAUGUGUGUUAAAAUAUUAAAACACGUCAGCAGAAUUUUAAAACACGUCACCAAAGUUAACUGAUAUUAAAACAUCCUAGAAAGAAUGCCACAUCAGCAAAAUUUUAAGACACGUCACCAAAGUUAACUGAUAUUUAACGUUUUGGACUAAAGUGACUAACGGAGUUAACAAUCAGGGAUUUUUUUAUCAUUUUCAUUAAUUCAAGGACUUAUGUGACAGUGCCUGACACUUUCAGGGACCAAAAUGAUGAUUUACUCGAAAAUAAACUUGAACGUGGUGCAAGACAUUUUUAAGAUUUAUCCAUUAAAAGAAGAAUAAUUCAUUCAUGCAAAAGCUUAGGAUAAUACUAAAAAAUAAUCUCAUGCAAGUUUUGGUUACUCUAAUUUUAAUGUAUCUUGAUUUUUGAUUAAUUGUAGCAAAAUGGAAACUCUAUUCAUUCAUGCAAGAAUUGCUACAUACUUGAGAUUUUCACUCAAUAUUUGUAGUUGUGUUUUUACCAUAUUGACCCCAAAGAGAUAAAAGGGUAAAUGAAAGUCACAAACUUUCUACUUGCAUUUUAUUCACCACAAAAAAAUGCCUUCUAUCCCCCACAAGCUCAUGAUUGUCACAACAACCAUUGAACAAACUAUCCAACCCUGCAAAAUUGCAGAUCAAAAGGGGGGAAUAGUCGGUAUGUAUAAUAUAUUUCUCCAAAAAAAAUGGUCCAAAAGAUAAAUCAAACUUCGAGGAUUUCAUUCGUGCAAAGACUCGGACGAAGGUGUGCGAGAAUUUGAU
Molecule: long non-coding RNA, 988 nt
Filed under: Trifolium pratense (red clover)
Lineage: Eukaryota; Viridiplantae; Streptophyta; Magnoliopsida; Fabales; Fabaceae
Description: long non-coding RNA (TPRA_LNC005108)
Source: RNAcentral